Molecule: non-coding RNA, 181 nt
Filed under: Pedosphaera sp.
Lineage: Bacteria; Pseudomonadati; Verrucomicrobiota; Pedosphaerae; Pedosphaerales; Pedosphaeraceae
Description: 6S RNA
Rfam family: 6S / SsrS RNA
About the family: E. coli 6S RNA was the first non coding RNA to be sequenced, but its function was unknown until recently. It consists of 184 nucleotides that fold into an extended hairpin structure with a large single-stranded internal bulge.
Source: RNAcentral
UUUACCCUGCCAUGUUCGUGAUUAGAAACUGCUCCUUGGACCGUAAGACAUGAUCAAAACGGAGCCUUGACUACGGCGAUGACCGACAGGCCUUAACUGGAAGCCGCGAGUCGUUGUUUGGGUUCCACCUGUUUCCACAAGUUCAUAGGAACUUUAACCACGGCAUUACGGUGGGGUAUUU